AUUGAACGCUGGCGGCAGGCCUAACACAUGCAAGUCGAGCGGAUGAAGGGAGCUUGCUCCUGGAUUCAGCGGCGGACGGGUGAGUAAUGCCUAGGAAUCUGCCUGGUAGUGGGGGAUAACGUCCGGAAACGGGCGCUAAUACCGCAUACGUCCUGAGGGAGAAAGUGGGGGAUCUUCGGACCUCACGCUAUCAGAUGAGCCUAGGUCGGAUUAGCUAGUUGGUGGGGUAAAGGCCUACCAAGGCGACGAUCCGUAACUGGUCUGAGGGGAUGAUCAGUCACACUGGAACUGAGACACGGUACAGGCUCCUACGGGAGGCAGCAGUGGGGAAUAUUGGAAAAUGGGCGAAAGCCUGAUCCAGCCAUGCCGCGUGUGUGAAGAAGGUCUUCGGAUUGUAAAGCACUUUAAGUUGGGAGGAAGGGCAGUAAGUUAAUACCUUGCUGUUUUGACGUUACCAACAGAAUAAGCACCGGCUAACUUCGU
RNAcentral lists this ribosomal RNA (483 nucleotides) under uncultured bacterium. Its description in RNAcentral is "partial 16S ribosomal RNA". It matches the Rfam family "Bacterial small subunit ribosomal RNA", at positions 30 to 506 of the family's 1533-position model. The record is from RNAcentral.